Sarcophilus harrisii (Tasmanian devil) is the source of this 185-nucleotide RNA transcript. RefSeq lists it as uncharacterized. The transcript has 3 exons. The record is from RefSeq and is a predicted model, not a curated record. NCBI's taxonomy places the organism in Eukaryota, Metazoa, Chordata, Mammalia, Dasyuromorphia, Dasyuridae.
UCAAACAAGGCCCCCCGGCUGGAUGGGGAGGGGGAUUCCCUCGAGAGUAUCCACCAACCAGUGGGGACCUUGGGCAGUGGACUGAGCCGAGUACGCAUGAAAACGCCCACCGUGCGGGGGGUCCUGGACCUGGAUGCCCCUGGGGAGCCGAGCAGGGAGGAGAGUCCCAUGACCCUCCCUGACCG